This 322-nucleotide ribosomal RNA is filed under the name uncultured bacterium. Its description in RNAcentral is "bacterial SSU rRNA". It matches the Rfam family "Bacterial small subunit ribosomal RNA", at positions 83 to 422 of the family's 1533-position model. The record is from RNAcentral.
CAGCAAUGGAGAGUGGCAGACGGGUGAGUAACGCGUGGGAACCUUCCCUAUGGUUCGGAGUAGCUCAGGGAAACUUGAGGUAAUACCGGAUAAGCCCUUCGGGGGAAAGAUUUAUCGCCAUUGGAUGGGCCCGCGUAGGAUUAGCUAGUUGGUGAGGUAACGGCUCACCAAGGCGACGAUCCUUAGCUGGUCUGAGAGGAUGAUCAGCCACACUGGGACUGAGACACGGCCCAGACUCCUACGGGAGGCAGCAGUGGGGAAUAUUGGACAAUGGGCGCAAGCCUGAUCCAGCCAUGCCGCGUGAGUGACGAAGGCCUUAGGG